This 436-nucleotide ribosomal RNA is filed under the name Staphylococcus aureus. Its description in RNAcentral is "partial 23S ribosomal RNA". It matches the Rfam family "Bacterial large subunit ribosomal RNA", at positions 755 to 1190 of the family's 2925-position model. The record is from RNAcentral. Lineage: Bacteria; Bacillati; Bacillota; Bacilli; Caryophanales; Staphylococcaceae.
GGUAACACUGAAUGGAGGACCGAACCGACUUACGUUGAAAAGUGAGCGGAUGAACUGAGGGUAGCGGAGAAAUUCCAAUCGAACCUGGAGAUAGCUGGUUCUCUCCGAAAUAGCUUUAGGGCUAGCCUCAAGUGAUGAUUAUUGGAGGUAGAGCACUGUUUGGACGAGGGGCCCCUCUCGGGUUACCGAAUUCAGACAAACUCCGAAUGCCAAUUAAUUUAACUUGGGAGUCAGAACAUGGGUGAUAAGGUCCGUGUUCGAAAGGGAAACAGCCCAGACCACCAGCUAAGGUCCCAAAAUAUAUGUUAAGUGGAAAAGGAUGUGGCGUUGCCCAGACAACUAGGAUGUUGGCUUAGAAGCAGCCAUCAUUUAAAGAGUGCGUAAUAGCUCACUAGUCGAGUGACACUGCGCCGAAAAUGUACCGGGGCUAAACAUA